GGGAGGUAGUGACAAUAAAUAACAAUACAGGGCUCUUACGGGUCUUGUAAUUGGAAUGAGUACAAUUUAAAUCCCUUAACGAGGAACAAUUGGAGGGCAAGUCUGGUGCCAGCAGCCGCGGUAAUUCCAGCUCCAAUAGCGUAUAUUAAAGUUGUUGCAGUUAAAAAGCUCGUGGUUGAAUUUCGGGGUUUUACCAUUGGUCGGGCUACCAAGUCUGUACUGGUGUGUAGAACUUCUACCUUCUGGGGAACUAUCAUGUUAUUAAUUUAGCGUGGUGGGAAACCAGAACCUUUACCUUGAAAAAAUUAGAGUGUUCAAAGCAGGCUUAUGUCUGAAUACAUUAGCAUGGAAUAAUAGAAUAGGACGGUGGUCCUGUUUUGAUGGUUUCUGAAUCACCGUAAUGAUUAAUAGGGAUAGUUGGG
Molecule: ribosomal RNA, 422 nt
Filed under: Scutellospora sp.
Lineage: Eukaryota; Fungi; Glomeromycota; Glomeromycetes; Diversisporales; Gigasporaceae
Description: SSU rRNA
Rfam family: Eukaryotic small subunit ribosomal RNA
Source: RNAcentral